This 431-nucleotide ribosomal RNA is filed under the name uncultured bacterium. RNAcentral's name for it is "bacterial SSU rRNA". It matches the Rfam family "Bacterial small subunit ribosomal RNA", at positions 958 to 1392 of the family's 1533-position model. The record is from RNAcentral.
AACGCGAAGAACCUUACCUACCCUUGACAUGCCGCUAACGAAGUAGAGAUACAUUAGGUGCCCGUAAGGGAAAGUGGACACAGGUGCUGCAUGGCUGUCGUCAGCUCGUGUCGUGAGAUGUUGGGUUAAGUCCCGCAACGAGCGCAACCCUUGUCUCUAGUUGCUACGCAAGAGCACUCUAGAGAGACUGCCGGUGACAAACCGGAGGAAGGUGGGGAUGACGUCAAGUCCUCAUGGCCCUUAUGGGUAGGGCUUCACACGUCAUACAAUGGUGCAUACAGAGGGUUGCCAACCCGCGAGGGGGAGCUAAUCUCAGAAAAUGCAUCGUAGUCCGGAUCGUAGUCUGCAACUCGACUACGUGAAGCUGGAAUCGCUAGUAAUCGCGGAUCAGAAUGUCGCGGUGAAUACGUUCCCGGGUCUUGUACACACCG